UCCGUAGGCGGUCAAUUAAGUCAGAGGUGAAAUACCAUAGCUCAACUAUGGAACUGCCUUUGAUACUGGUUGACUUGAGUCAUAUGGAAGUAGAUAGAAUGUGUAGUGUAGCGGUGAAAUGCAUAGAUAUUACACAGAAUACCGAUUGCGAAGGCAGUCUACUACGUAUGUACUGACGCUGAGGGACGAAAGCGUGGCGAGCGAACAGGAUUAGAUACCCUGGUAGUCC
RNAcentral lists this ribosomal RNA (229 nucleotides) under uncultured bacterium. RNAcentral describes it as "partial 16S ribosomal RNA". It matches the Rfam family "Bacterial small subunit ribosomal RNA", at positions 568 to 796 of the family's 1533-position model. The record is from RNAcentral.